CGGCGGGGACAGGGCUGCGCUUCCCCGGAGCUGCAGCUGCCGCUGCCCGGGCGCAGCGAGCCCGGGGUCGGGGCGCUCAGCGAAGGGGAGCGGGAGUGCAGCCCGGCCCCUCGCCCCUCACCUUGUCCCGCAGCUUUAUCUCACCAAAGAGGAUGCAAAUUAUGCCAUUCACAUUGCCAAGAUCAUGAUAGAGCCUUCUAAAGAGACCCUCUGAUAUUUUAUGAGCCAGGAGUCACAGAUGAAUUGCCAAAGAACCAGAGAGACCAGACAACACUGGAAACAGAGGAGGGAAUGAGAACAAGUUAUAUCAAGAUAAGACAUGAGGAGACAACACAGAGGCAAUACUAAGUAGCACUCUUAUGGCUUUUGCAAGUCAUCAGUGGAUGCAUCUAAAUUUUCUCCUCUUGAGGGGCUGCAUUGCCCUUUUUACAGAAACUUCCAUAAGAAAUGGCUCUCUUUCAAAAUGGCCUCUCAGUGGGACCAAGACCAUGGACUAAAGUCAAUUAAGAAGCCUUCAAUCAAAAUGGUCAUCGCCUCCAAUUAUUCCUAAGGAGAGUCAUGGUGGCUCCCUCUGUGCUCAAGACAAAGAGGAAGUAAAUGGUGACAGUAACUCUUCAUGAAGCCAGUAUACACACUCCCCCAGAGAAAGAUGGGCAAUAGAUGCCACACUCAAAAUGACUACCUGAGAUAAGGAGAAGAAAUAAAAUGAACAUUUCUUUAAUAAGAAGAAACCAUAAACACGAUAAUGCCUUAAUUGUAAUUAUAUGAUUUUGACUGUGUCAGUAAAAGGCAGAAGUAUGGCUGUUCAGAUGCCCUACCUGUGCUUUUCCUAACUUAAUAUGUAUGGCUAGAGGUACUUAGCUGUGUUAGCCUGAGGUUAAGCAAAAGGUCAGGCAGGGUGGCACCUUAUAGAUUAAUUUGUUCAGAGAGGCAUGAUCUUUCAUAGUACAUUCAUAGCAUCUGGCAAAGUAGUCUGUAGCUAAUGCCCCCCAAGGAGUUAGUCCGUAAGGUGCCACCCUGCCUUACCCUCUUAAUACAUUUUGACAUCUUUUAAGUCCACUCGUAACUCUAAAUUCCCUGGAUUUGUAAUACUUGAUUUAAAGAUAUUUAUAAUAUUUUCCUAGGUAUAGAUUUUGUGAUAGUAUCUCUCUAACUGUGCCCCAGCUUUCCUAAAGGUAUCACUUCACUCACCGCUGUUUCUUCAGGGCCUCAUCCAAACCCACUGAGGGUCAAUUAAAAAGAAAACCCACUUCAAAUCAAGCAUGAAUAAUAUCACUUCCUUUUAUAUCACAGUCUGCCUAUUACAGCAACUUUCAUCAGCAAUAGCUGAGUUCCAUAUAUAAUUAUGUUGAGAGAAACUUAAACUUAAGCUUUUCAUAUUGAUUAUCCUGAACCAUUGGUGGCAUAAGCAUUGCCUGGCACAGGAACGCUGAUACAUGUGAUGCUGGAGCCUGCUGGAGCAUGGUAAUUACACCGCAACAGCAGGCUCGAUUAAUCAAGUCUGCUCUGAUGUGCUGCAAUUACCACGCAUCAGAGCAGCCUUGAUGUACGUGUAUAGGCACCCUUUAUUUUUAGUAAUUUUUUUUUUCCCAGUGGUUCUCAGGGAAUGUGAAGUUUUUGUGGUGACCUUUUUUCAUGAUUUUCAUGAAAAUUGUGAAUUGAGUAGAUCCCUACUUAUGUUCCAUUGCAAUCUCAAAGGUCUGCUGAGAGCAACCUUCUGCAAAUACCAUCAGUUUGCCAAGUUCAUUUGGUAAAAACAUGUGGGAGGUUGUUCUUGCGAGUCACAUCUCAGCUCUACAAGUCUCCUUUGAGCCCAUUAGAGUUUGAGUGAAGACAUUUUCAGGAACUGUUGUAAGACCUCUUUAUGUGGGCAGACCUAAGUUUUGGAGCACAGUUUGUAGAGUUUGUUGCUUUCCACAUGCUAUUCUAUUUUAAUAGGUAAUCUGUUUUUAUCAUUUAUAUUGUUUUCUAUUGUCAGUUCCACUGGGCCUUUUCUGAGGAAGGCAGGAUAGAAAUCUAAUAAAUAAAUAACCGUAUUCCCACAGACAUAGUGAACGCUAUGGGAAGUUUAGAAUGACACACAUUAGCCAAAGUUACAUUUACCUGAUUUUCCAAAGUUACAUUUACCAGAUUUGAUCCUUUGGCCCAGAUGUGGUGUAAAAGCCAGAAGGAAUACUCUCUGCUCCUUAAAGUCAGUAUAUCAUCACUGACUGCCGUGUAACUAGAACAACUGAGGAUUUGGCCUAAAGACUGGAUGUUAAGUACUAUCCCUCAUCCUAUUUACAAUAUGUAUGUGAGAGAGAUUGAGAUGGGAAGGGCUAUGGAAAUAAAUUUUCAAAAUGUAAUAUUCCAAAUUAAUAUUAUAAAAGCUAAGCAGUACCAGCUACUGUUUUUAGCAAUGGUUCAUAAUCCUUGGGAAUCAAACGUGAAGGCACUGAAAUGAACACGGAAGAAGAGUAAAAUACAUAAUAGUUGUUGCAGAAGGGGUUAGGACUCAGUCCAGUUGGUGUAAACCCUUUGUUCCCAUAAAGAAACAAACAAACCCCAAGUCUGUGCCCCACAGCUUCAUGGUGGAAUUACGCAUAGGUACAUUUUCACAGCAGGUUUCCUUUCUGGCCCCUGAUGCAAAGACAAUGGACAUCAGUGUAAAGAUCCCUAUUGAUUUCAAUAAGCCUUAUACCAGUUCCCACUGAUCAUUCCAGUUAAACCUACCUAUGAAGUAAUUCUUGGUUUUGCAAGUUACAUACAACGAUGGCUGUAAGUAGUAUAGGGUAUAAACACUACCCUUCUGUAUGACUGACUCACUUAUCCCAUUGUGUUCCACAUUAUUAUGGACUUCUUUUCAAAGAAGGCCUGUAAGCUUGCUUGACAACACUUACACAACCAAAAUCACAGUGUUGCAUCAGCUGGUGACUUGUUUUUCAGUUGCACCCCAUUUUUUGAGCAAAAUUAUAGAGGCAGGGUUGCAGGCACUGUAAAAUAUGAUCCUAUAUGCAUCUCUCAAGUUUUUCUCUGUUCUACCUCAGACUGAAACCCAGCUUGACCUGGGCUUAUAGUCUAAUAACCCACUGACCUAGUGUGCUCCUCUUGGUCUGACUGUCUAUGACCUAGUUGACCCCGGUAGGCUGUGGCUGUUCCCAAUCCUACUUGUCCUUCCCUUCCCCUACAAGUGUAUUGUACAUAUUAAAAAAAUUACAACAGAAAAAGUCAGAGGUCCUUUGGUCCCCACCUAUGUUGCUGCCAAAGGGCGCCCUUGAAUGUCACCCAAAGACACCUGAAAGCUGUCUGGGCAUCUUGCUAUGGUAAUGUUCACGAAGGUGCCUGGGCUGGCCCAGGUAAUCUCAGAGGGGGAGGGAAGCAGUAAUAGUGGCAGCCCCUGUGAGAUGGGAAUCUUUUCAUUUGACCUGGCAGAAUGGCUCAAUCUCAGUUUCUGUCAUAGCUCAUCUGCUGCAUGCUCUCAAGCCAUAAAUCUUGUUCAAUUUAUAGCAACUAUCAGCAAACCAUUUUUUCCCAUUUUCUUGUCUAAGAACUGAGACAAAGGCUUUUGUACCAAGGGGCGCUAGUGAGAUAUAUCUGUACAGUGAGGAGUUUGUCAAAAUCUACAGUUUAGUUUAACUGAAUGUAUUACCUCUCACUAAAGUAAAUAGAUUUCUAGAGUCAGACUGAGCUGAUGUAAAAUGGCUAAGCAACACGGAAAUCAACAGAGAUAUUAACACAAGCAUAUUGACACAAACUGAUUGGCACAAACUAAGAUUCUUGCCUUUAAACAUGAAGGCCAGAGAAUUAUUCUUCCGCUGUUAUGGAGGUUGCCUUCUUUAUUGAGAAAUAAAGGACACUGAACAAAAUAAUCCACUAUGAAGAGGAUUUCCAAAAGCACCUACACAGGUGUAGCAGGGCACUGGGGUGUGCUUACUCCUUUAAGGGACCUAGCAGCCAGUGGGGCUGUUUGCAGGUGGUGCAAGGGGCUAAUGAGAGACUUACCUGACUGGAAGAGGGCUCAGGCUGGAGCUAUCUAAGUCCACAGCCUGAGUCGGUCAGGCAGUCUCUCCUUGGCAGCCACGGGGUAAGGAGCUCUGGGCAGCAGAAAUUAUAUAGACAACUCUCCAGGCCUGGGAGCAGAGGCAAGCCCCCUGGGCAGAGAAGGACUGAGUUUUACAAACAAGAGGCCUUUAUUUUAUUUUGAGCCCACAGAGGGUCUUGGUGCCCAGGGAAGGGCUAAGCUGGACCAGAGAGUCUGGGAGCUUGGAGAAGGGGCAGCAUGUCAGACCAGGGGAGUCUGAAGCCCCAAGGGGGGCAGAGUACAUAAUUAAGCAACAUCACAAAGAGAGAACACCCGCAAGGCUUGGGGUGUGGUGUAGAGGAGGUACGGAGCCACACAAGGAGCCGUUAAGGCAACAGGUGCCUGGCAUGGGUACAGACAGGCUGAGAGGGCCUGCUAGCCUGGGGGUGCAGGACUGUGACUGAGGGGACCCAGGAGAGGCCCAGUGUUGAUGGACACAAGCUUAGGCUCACAGAGCAGCUGCCGUUUGUCUUCGUUAAAAGCAAGGUGUAGUGGGAAAGAUUCAAGUGAAGGGCUGCAGUUGAGCCUGAGCAGGACAGGGGCCACAUGGCCAUCAGGGGCAUCACAGCCAAUCCAAUGGCUGCAGACUUGGUCCAACAGGUGCCUAAUUGAUCAGGUGCAUUUUUAAAUCCACUGGGUACAUAAAUACCUUCAUAAGGCUGGCCCUGUAAGCCUGAGACCACUGGGACUCAAUGAUCUGCCUAACUUCAAAUAUUUCAUUUAAGCUGGUUGAAAAAUGUAUGAGAUAGAAUAGUUUCCUAGUGGAAAAAGCACUUAUUGUACACUUUUUCAGUUUAUUUUGUUAUACUUUUAUAUCAUAAAAAUUGUAAUUAAUCUGAUGUUAUUUAAAUGAAACAAUUAAGGCCUACACUUUCAAAAGUCACCAUGAAAAUAUAUGUGACCCAAAUGAUGAAAGGGGAAACUGGGAGACUGGUUUUGUGAUUCUCUGGUUUAUUGAGGCUUCUUAGCAAACUAGAUUUAAAAAAAUGCUUUCACAACAUAAAAUAUUCAGACUCUAGGCUUAUGUCCUCAGGUACAGACAAAGACCACUCACUACAGUGGAAAGAUUUUAUACCCAACAUACAUUUAACAGAGGCCCCUGCUCCCUUCUCCUGCUGGAGGGGCAGGCACCUCCUCCAUCUCCCCUGCUAUCAGCAUCCAGACAGCUUCCUGCCCGCACCUCCUCCCCACCCCCCACACAUACAUGGAGCCCCCCUGGACAGUCCCCAAGCCCUAGCCCUUCAACUCCUGCUCCCCAUAGACUUACCUGCAUCCAGCUGCUGGGGUUGCUCCCACUACCUUGCCUGGCUGUAUGUCAGCCAUGUGAAUGUAUAUGCGCAGACACACGUGAUGCCCUCUGUCUCCCAUCACCCUUCCCCCACUCCCACCAGCCCCAAGCAGCUCCUUGCUGAUGC
Alligator sinensis (Chinese alligator) is the source of this 5475-nucleotide long non-coding RNA. RefSeq lists it as uncharacterized. Lineage: Eukaryota; Metazoa; Chordata; Crocodylia; Alligatoridae. The record is from RefSeq and is a predicted model, not a curated record. The transcript is spliced from 4 exons.